AGAGCGAACGCUGGCGGCAGGCUUAACACAUGCAAGUCGAGCGGGCGUAGCAAUACGUCAGCGGCAGACGGGUGAGUAACGCGUGGGAACGUACCUUUUGGUUCGGAACAACCCAGGGAAACUUGGGCUAAUACCGGAUAAGCCCUUACGGGGAAAGAUUUAUCGCCGAAAGAUCGGCCCGCGUCUGAUUAGCUAGUUGGUGAGGUAAUGGCUCACCAAGGCGACGAUCAGUAGCUGGUCUGAGAGAAUGAUCAGCCACAUUGGGACUGAGACACGGCCCAAACUCCUACGGGAGGCAGCAGUGGGGAAUAUUGGACAAUGGGCGCAAGCCUGAUCCAGCCAUGCCGCGUGAGUGAUGAAGGCCCUAGGGUUGUAAAGCUCUUUUGUGCGGGAAGAUAAUGACGGUACCGCAAGAAUAAGCCCCGGCUAACUUCGCGCCAGCAGCCGC
This 448-nucleotide ribosomal RNA is filed under the name uncultured bacterium. Its description in RNAcentral is "SSU rRNA". It matches the Rfam family "Bacterial small subunit ribosomal RNA", at positions 26 to 518 of the family's 1533-position model. The record is from RNAcentral.